This is a non-coding RNA of Oryctolagus cuniculus (rabbit), 412 nucleotides long. Lineage: Eukaryota; Metazoa; Chordata; Mammalia; Lagomorpha; Leporidae. The record is from RefSeq and is a predicted model, not a curated record.
UUCCACUCUGCCUCCCCUGCUUCACUGAGCCUUUGGUUCCUCUGUCUCCAGGGAUGAGUCCUUAGCCGAGACAAGGCUAAGCGGGCUUCUCUCCUUUCCUGGCUAUGGCCCCUCAACAUUCGGAGUAUUGCAGGGCUGGUGGUGUAUGGAGAAGACAGGAGCAGAGAGGCCUCGGUGGCUCACCUGGUAAUAGUGGAAGAUGGAAUCUGCCAUAGGAUCCUUCCCUGGCACUGUCGUGGUCCACAGUUUCUUCAUGAAGAACACCUGGUAGGAAAAGAACAAUUUUCUCCAAAGCAGAGCCUCCUCCCAGGCGGCAGGAGAGGGCAGGCAGCACACCCUUCCAAGGAGAGCUCUGGGAAGCAGGGAAGCUGUGGUCUUCUGACUACACCCUGACCGUUCUGAAGGGCAGGAG